GUGCUCGCUUCGGCAGCACACAUACUAAAAUUGGAACGAUACAGAGAAGAUUAGCAUGGCCCGUGCACAAGGAUGACAUGCAAAUUCGUGAAGCAUUCCAUAUUUUU
This 107-nucleotide small nuclear RNA is filed under the name Octodon degus (degu). The record is from RNAcentral. Lineage: Eukaryota; Metazoa; Chordata; Mammalia; Rodentia; Octodontidae.